This 397-nucleotide ribosomal RNA is filed under the name uncultured bacterium. Its description in RNAcentral is "partial 16S ribosomal RNA". It matches the Rfam family "Bacterial small subunit ribosomal RNA", at positions 523 to 918 of the family's 1533-position model. The record is from RNAcentral.
AUACGUAGGUGGCAAGCGUUGUCCGGAAUUAUUGGGCGUAAAGCGCGCGCAGGCGGUCCUUUAAGUCUGAUGUGAAAGCCCACGGCUCAACCGUGGAGGGUCAUUGGAAACUGGAGGACUUGAGUGCAGAAGAGGAAAGUGGAAUUCCAAGUGUAGCGGUGAAAUGCGUAGAGAUUUGGAGGAACACCAGUGGCGAAGGCGACUUUCUGGUCUGUAACUGACGCUGAGGCGCGAAAGCGUGGGGAGCAAACAGGAUUAGAUCCCCUGGUAGUCCACGCCGUAAACGAUGAGUGCUAAGUGUUAGGGGGUUUCCGCCCCUUAGUGCUGCAGCUAACGCAUUAAGCACUCCGCCUGGGGAGUACGGUCGCAAGACUGAAACUCAAAUGAAUUGACGGGG